CAUGCAAGUCGAACGAAGUAGUAAUACUUAGUGGCAGACGGGUGAGUAACAUGUAGGUAUCUGCCCUUUGGCCUGGAAUAACACGAGGAAACUUGUGCUAAUACCGGAUAAGUCUUUACGGAGAAAGCUUUAUGCACCAUUGGAUGAGCCUGCACUUGAUUAGUUUGUUGGUGGGGUAAUGGCCUACCAAGACUGUGAUCAAUAGCUGAUUUGAGAGGAUGAUCAGCCACAUUGGGACUGAGACACGGCCCAAACUCCUACGGGAGGCAGCAGUGGGGAAUCUUGCACAAUGGAGGAAACUCUGAUGCAGCGAUGCCGCGUGAGUGAAGAAGGCCUUUGGGUUGUAAAGCUCUUUCGUCGGGGAAGAAAAUGACUGUACCCGAAUAAGAAGGUCCGGCUAACUUCGUGCCAGCAGCCGCGGUAAUACGAAGGGACCUAGCGUAGUUCGGAAUUACUGGGCUUAAAGAGUUCGUAGGUGGUUGAGAAAGUUGGUGGUGAAAUCCCAGAGCUUAACUCUGGAACUGCCAUCAAAACUUUUCAGCUAGAGUAUGAUAGAGGAAAGCAGAAUUUCUAGUGUAGAGGUGAAAUUCGUAGAUAUUAGAAAGAAUACCAAUUGCGAAGGCAGCUUUCUGGAUCAUUACUGACACUGAGGAACGAAAGCAUGGGUAGCGAAGAGGAUUAGAUACCCUCGUAGUCCAUGCCGUAAACGAUGUGUGUUAGACGUUGGAAAUUUAUUUUCAGUGUCGCAGCGAAAGCGAUAAACACACCGCCUGGGGAGUACGACCGCAAGGUUAAAACUCAAAUGAAUUGACGGGGACCCGCAC
RNAcentral lists this ribosomal RNA (824 nucleotides) under uncultured Alphaproteobacteria bacterium. Its description in RNAcentral is "bacterial SSU rRNA". It matches the Rfam family "Bacterial small subunit ribosomal RNA", at positions 54 to 926 of the family's 1533-position model. Lineage: Bacteria; Pseudomonadati; Pseudomonadota; Alphaproteobacteria. The record is from RNAcentral.